RNAcentral lists this long non-coding RNA (254 nucleotides) under Rattus norvegicus (Norway rat). RNAcentral describes it as "long non-coding RNA NONRATT024273". The record is from RNAcentral. Lineage: Eukaryota; Metazoa; Chordata; Mammalia; Rodentia; Muridae.
CGGAGAUGUUUCGGAAAGUCAAUGUGCCUGGGCCUUGGCUGUCUUCUUUGAUAAAGCAGUCACAACUCUCUCACCUGGUUUUCAUCAUGUUGUCGGAAUAUAUUGGUUUCUUAUCUAUUCCAGUAGGAAGUCCAUCACAAAGCUUGUGUUGCAGAAGUCAUAUCCUGCUCUAAGGUCUGUCUCCCUUCCUUAAAUGGCACCUGCUUGCUCCUUAAUAUUAUUAAAGUUCUGUUUAAUAAAAAUGCUUAAGCUUA